Molecule: ribosomal RNA, 253 nt
Filed under: uncultured bacterium
Lineage: Bacteria
Description: partial 16S ribosomal RNA
Rfam family: Bacterial small subunit ribosomal RNA
Source: RNAcentral
UACGAAGGGGGCUAGCGUUGCUCGGAAUUACUGGGCGUAAAGCGCGCGCAGGCGGUUUCUCAAGUCAGUGGUGAAAGCCCGGAGCUCAACUCCGGAACUGCCAUUGAAACUGUGAGACUUGAGGACGAGAGAGGUGAGUGGAAUUCCCAGUGUAGAGGUGAAAUUCGUAGAUAUUGGGAAGAACACCGGUGGCGAAGGCGGCUCACUGGCUCGUUUCUGACGCUCAGGCGCGACAGCGUGGGGAUCAAACAGG